GACGAACGCUGGCGGCGUGCUUAACACAUGCAAGUCAAACGGUGAAGCUCCAGCUUGCUGGAGUGGAUCAGUGGCGAACGGGUGAGUAACACGUGAGCAACCUGCCCCUGACUCUGGAAUAAGCGCUGGAAACGGCGUCUAAUACUGGAUACGAGAAGGGUCCGCAUGGGCACUUUCUGGAAAGUUUUUCGGUUGGGGAUGGGCUCGCGGCCUAUCAGCUUGUUGGUGAGGUAAUGGCUCACCAAGGCGACGACGGGUAGCCGGCCUGAGAGGGCGACCGGCCACACUGGGACUGAGACACGGCCCAGACUCCUACGGGAGGCAGCAGUGGGGAAUAUUGCACAAUGGGCGAAAGCCUGAUGCAGCGACGCCGCGUGAGGGAUGACGGCCUUCGGGUUGUAAACCUCUUUCAGCAGGGAAGAAGCGAAAGUGACGGUACCUGCAGAAGAAGCACCGGCUAACUACGUG
This 468-nucleotide ribosomal RNA is filed under the name uncultured bacterium. Its description in RNAcentral is "partial 16S ribosomal RNA". It matches the Rfam family "Bacterial small subunit ribosomal RNA", at positions 28 to 507 of the family's 1533-position model. The record is from RNAcentral.